Molecule: non-coding RNA, 67 nt
Organism: Bombyx mori (domestic silkworm)
Lineage: Eukaryota; Metazoa; Arthropoda; Insecta; Lepidoptera; Bombycidae
Source: Rfam
ACAACAUUCGGACCGUCGGUCUACCGAGCAAUAUCACCCGUUCGGUGGAAGAUCUUCCCUUUGUCGU